UUCCCCUCACAACAAUUUGCAUCAAACCUCUUGUCUGCUCCUCAGCUGAAAUCAUCAUCUAGCAGUCACAAUAGUUGAGCGGUUGGAGAGGCAUGCAUUGCGUCCUACUACUGCUCAGACUAUAUCAUGUUUGGCAGACAAAACAUGCUGAUCAAAAAGAAUGUGUACCACAGGGGCCAGUGUUUCCAUUUGAGUGAUUGACAAGGAGAAGAAGAGAUGAGAAAUGUUAUCAUCAUAUUUUAG
Molecule: long non-coding RNA, 243 nt
Organism: Dreissena polymorpha
Lineage: Eukaryota; Metazoa; Mollusca; Bivalvia; Myida; Dreissenidae
Exons: 3
Source: RefSeq, a predicted model, not a curated record